This 368-nucleotide ribosomal RNA is filed under the name Pseudoalteromonas sp. RNAcentral's name for it is "bacterial SSU rRNA". It matches the Rfam family "Bacterial small subunit ribosomal RNA", at positions 90 to 467 of the family's 1533-position model. The record is from RNAcentral. Lineage: Bacteria; Pseudomonadati; Pseudomonadota; Gammaproteobacteria; Alteromonadales; Pseudoalteromonadaceae.
GACGAGCGGCGGACGGCUGAGUAAUGCUUGGGAACAUGCCUUGAGGUGGGGGACAACAGUUGGAAACGACUGCUAAUACCGCAUAAUGUCUACGGACCAAAGGGGGCUUCGGCUCUCGCCUUUAGAUUGGCCCAAGUGGGAUUAGCUAGUUGGUGAGGUAAUGGCUCACCAAGGCGACGAUCCCUAGCUGGUUUGAGAGGAUGAUCAGCCACACUGGGACUGAGACACGGCCCAGACUCCUACGGGAGGCAGCAGUGGGGAAUAUUGCACAAUGGGCGCAAGCCUGAUGCAGCCAUGCCGCGUGUGUGAUGGAUGAAGUGCGGGUUGUAAAGCACUUUCAGUCAGGAGGAAAGGUUAGUAGUUAAUAC